RNAcentral lists this ribosomal RNA (490 nucleotides) under uncultured bacterium. Its description in RNAcentral is "partial 16S ribosomal RNA". It matches the Rfam family "Bacterial small subunit ribosomal RNA", at positions 29 to 507 of the family's 1533-position model. The record is from RNAcentral.
AGUGAACGCUGGCGGUAGGCCUAACACAUGCAAGUCGAACGGCAGCACAGGAGAGCUUGCUCUCUGGGUGGCGAGUGGCGGACGGGUGAGGAAUACAUCGGAAUCUGCCCAGUCGUGGGGGAUAACGUAGGGAAACUUACGCUAAUACCGCAUACGACCUUCGGGUGAAAGAGGGGGAUCGCAAGACCUCUCGCGAUUGGAUGAGCCGAUGUCGGAUUAGCUAGUUGGCGGGGUAAUGGCCCACCAAGGCGACGAUCCGUAGCUGGUCUGAGAGGAUGACCAGCCACACUGGAACUGAGACACGGUCCAGACUCCUACGGGAGGCAGCAGUGGGGAAUAUUGGACAAUGGGCGCAAGCCUGAUCCAGCCAUACCGCGUGGGUGAAGAAGGCCUUCGGGUUGUAAAGCCCUUUUGUUGGGAUAGAAAUCUUUCAGGCUAAUACCCUGGGAGGAUGACGGUACCCAAAGAAUAAGCACCGGCUAACUUCGUG